Sitophilus oryzae (rice weevil) is the source of this 229-nucleotide long non-coding RNA. RefSeq lists it as uncharacterized. The transcript has 3 exons. The record is from RefSeq and is a predicted model, not a curated record. Lineage: Eukaryota; Metazoa; Arthropoda; Insecta; Coleoptera; Curculionidae.
ACCUAUGUAUUUCUUGGACACUCGCCAAUUUUUCCCACGCUCGAAUUUAAAACGCCCCACUCCGACGAUGCGCUAACUGAUUUAAGCGACCGACAGUCAGCCUCAUUCAGUGGAUGCAUAGCCUCCACCGGUGGCGCGUAGGGCCGUAUUACGGAAGAUUUUAAUUCGAUUUUUUUCUUAUAUUUAACCAUAGGUAUUUGUGCUUUUAUUUCAAUUUUAUUUUUAUUGA